CUGCAAUAUGGUUUGGGAUGUUGAGCCUGGAAUGGUUGCCUAGAGUCUGUUUCUUUUAUGCCUCUUUAAAAUGUGAAGCUGGCUGUAUUUCUUAAUACAUCCUUCUCUGCUUACAUUGUCUAGAGUGGAUCCUGUUGUGUGUACUUAAGAAGCCUGACCUACAGAGAAGUACUGCAAUUUCUUGGCGUGUCUCCGAAUCCUCCCUCUUCCUGAUCUUCCCACUAGAGGCUCAUACUGUCUGAAGUGGCCCAUUGUUUGGAGUUAUUCCUGGCUGAUGACUCUCACCAUCAUAAAUAUUAGGAGGGAGUGGAGACGGAGAGGACACAGGGAAAAGGGAAGAAAGCACUGACCCCAGAGAAGUCCUCCACAAAGUUCAUCUCCCCAGGAAACAAGACAAAACAGAGACAAUAAAAUGUCCAGUAUCAAAUAAAUAAGGGUCAUGUGAUUCCCAAGUAAACUGACCAGAAUGCUCAUCAAAUUCGAAGAAGCGGAGUCAGAUCGUUUCCAAAGAUUAGCCUUGAGCUAACAUCUGCUGCCAAUCCUCCUCUUUUGCUGAGGAAGACUGGCCCUGAGCUAACAUCCGUGCCCAUCUUCCUCUACUUUAUAUGUGGGACACCUGCCACAUCUGGGCUUGCCAAGCGAUGCCAUGACUGCACCCGGGAUCUGAACCGGCAAACCCCAGGCCGCCGAAGCAGAACGUGAGAACUUAACUGCUGUGCCACCGGGCCGGCCCCUAACUAUAUUUUCCUAAUGGAUCUUUUGCCCAAGCAUGAUUUUGCCAUAUAAUGCAUCUAUCAUUUGGAAAAUGUUGAUUCAUUGAGUGAAUAGUUGACCUCCCACUUAUUGGCUAUACAAUAUAUUAAAAGUCACAUUUGUUAAUAUCAUUGACCUCGUUGGAAAGGUCUUUAAGCAUUGGGAGGCUGUCAGGUUUACAUUAGCACACACAAGUUUUCCAAAAUUCUUUUUUGCUUGAAGGCUCAAAUUUUAUCUUUGGCAGCAAAUAAUGACGGUUGUUUUCCUCUCGGUGACAAGCUCUCUUUAUUUAAACUCAAGAAAAAGUCUAAGUAGCCAGGCCUGAAUAACAAUA
This 1087-nucleotide long non-coding RNA is filed under the name Equus caballus (horse). RNAcentral describes it as "lncRNA (ENSECAG00000054752.1)". The record is from RNAcentral. Lineage: Eukaryota; Metazoa; Chordata; Mammalia; Perissodactyla; Equidae.